RNAcentral lists this ribosomal RNA (766 nucleotides) under human gut metagenome. RNAcentral describes it as "bacterial SSU rRNA". It matches the Rfam family "Bacterial small subunit ribosomal RNA", at positions 438 to 1207 of the family's 1533-position model. The record is from RNAcentral.
AUAGGGGGAUAAAGUGUGCCACGUGUGGCAUAUUGCAGGUACCCUAUGAAUAAGGACCGGCUAAUUCCGUGCCAGCAGCCGCGGUAAUACGGAAGGUCCGGGCGUUAUCCGGAUUUAUUGGGUUUAAAGGGAGCGUAGGCCGUUUGGUAAGCGUGUUGUGAAAUGUCGGGGCUCAACCUGGGCAUUGCAGCGCGAACUGUCAGACUUGAGUGCGCAGGAAGUAGGCGGAAUUCGUCGUGUAGCGGUGAAAUGCUUAGAUAUGACGAAGAACUCCGAUUGCGAAGGCAGCCUGCUGUAGCGCAACUGACGCUGAAGCUCGAAAGCGUGGGUAUCGAACAGGAUUAGAUACCCUGGUAGUCCACGCGGUAAACGAUGGAUGCUCGCUGUUUGCGUCUGACGUAAGCGGCCAAGCGAAAGCGUUAAGCAUCCCACCUGGGGAGUACGCCGGCAACGGUGAAACUCAAAGGAAUUGACGGGGGCCCGCACAAGCGGAGGAACAUGUGGUUUAAUUCGAUGAUACGCGAGGAACCUUACCCGGGCUUGAACUGUAGGUGAACGAUUCAGAGAUGAUGAGGCCCUUCGGGGCGCCUAUGGAGGUGCUGCAUGGUUGUCGUCAGCUCGUGCCGUGAGGUGUCGGCUUAAGUGCCAUAACGAGCGCAACCCUUGUUCGUAGUUGCCAUCGGGUUAAGCCGGGCACUCUGCGAAGACUGCCUCCGUAAGGAGUGAGGAAGGUGGGGAUGACGUCAAAUCAGCACGGCCCUUACGU